This 795-nucleotide ribosomal RNA is filed under the name uncultured Segetibacter sp. RNAcentral's name for it is "bacterial SSU rRNA". It matches the Rfam family "Bacterial small subunit ribosomal RNA", at positions 8 to 796 of the family's 1533-position model. The record is from RNAcentral. Lineage: Bacteria; Pseudomonadati; Bacteroidota; Chitinophagia; Chitinophagales; Chitinophagaceae.
AGAGUUUGAUCAUGGCUCAGGAUGAACGCUAGCGGCAGGCUUAAUACAUGCAAGUCGAGGGGCAACAGGGGUAGCGAUACCUGCUGGCGACCGGCAAACGGGUGCGCAACACGUACAGAACCUUCCUUUAAGCGGGGGAUAGCCCAUAGAAAUGUGGAUUAAUACCCCAUGGUAUUAUUGUUUGGCAUCAAAUAAUAAUUAAAGAUUUAUCACUUAGAGAUGGCUGUGCGUCUGAUUAGGUAGUUGGUUGGGGUAAUGGCCCACCAAGCCUUCGAUCAGUAACUGGUGUGAGAGCACGACCAGUCACACGGGCACUGAGACACGGGCCCGACUCCUACGGGAGGCAGCAGUAAGGAAUAUUGGUCAAUGGAGGCAACUCUGAACCAGCCAUGCCGCGUGAAGGAUGAAGGUCCUCUGGAUUGUAAACUUCUUUUAUGUGGGAAGAAAUGCAUUCUUUAUAGAGUGUUUGACGGUACCAUAGGAAUAAGCACCGGCUAACUCCGUGCCAGCAGCCGCGGUAAUACGGAGGGUGCGAGCGUUAUCCGGAUUCACUGGGUUUAAAGGGUGCGUAGGUGGGGAAGUAAGUCAGUGGUGAAAUCUCCGUGCUUAACAUGGAAACUGCCAUUGAUACUAUUUUUUCUUGAAUUUUCCGGAGGUUAGCGGAAUAUGUCAUGUAGCGGUGAAAUGCUUAGAUAUGACAUAGAACACCAAUUGCGAAGGCAGCUAACUACAGGGAUAUUGACACUGAGGCACGAAAGCGUGGGGAUCAAACAGGAUUAGAUACCCUGGUAGUCC